Molecule: long non-coding RNA, 1461 nt
Organism: Spinacia oleracea (spinach)
Lineage: Eukaryota; Viridiplantae; Streptophyta; Magnoliopsida; Caryophyllales; Amaranthaceae
Exons: 4
Source: RefSeq, a predicted model, not a curated record
AAUAGAGAUAAAACAUAAUUCACGUUAAAAAAAGUGGCGCGGGUUAUCUGAAAAAUUUAAAAAGAUAAAUUGGAGUUACAUUUUCACCCUAGUGUCGUCGUUAUUGUUCAUCUUAAAAUAAAUUUAUGAGUUUCCAGACUUUCCACCAAACUCACUGCACACCAAAACCUAAGUUUAUUCUUCUGUGAUUCAAGUUGUGGCGGCGAGGUGGGAAUCCGGAUACCCAAAGCCCAAAUUCUUGCCCACCUUUCUUCGACUAAACCGCCUUUCUUUAAUAUCUCCAACCACUAACAACUUCAACCCUUGGGGGUAGACGAUAUUGGUGGUAGAAUCGAAAUACGUAAAGGCUUAAUUGGUGGUGGAUCUUGUAAUGGAUGGCGGUUUCGGUGGUGGAAUUGGAUUGUGUAAAACCACUUCCUCCGACAGUCCCGACCCCUCUCUCUCGGUCUCUCCUCCUAUGGUUCUACCCUCCCUCUUUUCCUUGGCCUCCACCUCCGGCGACCUAAGUUGGCAAAGUAAAUGAUUAGGUUUUAGCAGGAAGAAAACUAAACCAACUGUAUGGGAAAGUAAUCUCUAACUAAAACAAUACUAAUUGAAAUCAACACAAAUAAAUGAAACUGCAAAGUAAAACUAAUUGAUACCACAGUUGUUAUGACGUUGAAGAUGAAUAUGAUGAGAAUGAGGAUGAGGUUGAGGAUGAAUGUCAGAUUACUGAAGAUGAAGAUGAAGAUGAAAAUGAUGAUUAUGAAGAUGAUGAAGUGGCUAUAUAACUGAUAAGAGGCCUGGCUAUACAGUUAGACUUGAGAACAAGAGGUUAACUUCUAGGUCCUGGUGGAGUUACCAUGAAUUUAUUUUCCAACAUUGAUGUCUAUUCAAAGGGAGCCACAUAGGUAGCAACUAGAGAGUAUUGAUGAGCUUACAUGUGAAUACUCAUCACUAAUCAGUUAAAGGAGGAAAUUCAUAACACAAUGGAAGAAGAACUAACACUCUCCCAUGUACAGGUAGCACAAAAGCGGUUUAAGUCGAAGUCUCGCGACCGGGUUUUGUUUGUUGGAGGAGGAAUAACACUUAAAAAAAUAUCAGGAUCACAACCAAGUAGGUUGGAACUUCAAUCUUAGUUGAAUGACGCAAACAAACAAAACAAUGUUCUUACCAAUAUGUGGAUACGGUACAAGAAGAAAAUAAUGCACUUAAGAGUCGCAUGAGUUCAGUUGAAGAUGAGCUUAAUGAGCUUAAAGCAUUAAAGAAGUGUUCUUACAACGCUUUUCAAGAGAUGGCACUCCAAGAAAGAACACUUUAAAUAGUUAGAUUUUAUUUUGUUCUUUUAGAUUCAACAAGAAUUACUUAUCUUCUAGCUUUUUUAGAAUUUAAAGACUACGGGAUGUGAUUUUUAUUUCACAUAACUUGAAAUUCUAUUGUAAAAAUCUUUUGAUUAAUGAAAUUUUCAUUUGUUUUAAUUGA